Long non-coding RNA from Topomyia yanbarensis, 865 nucleotides. RefSeq lists it as uncharacterized. The transcript has 2 exons. The record is from RefSeq and is a predicted model, not a curated record. NCBI's taxonomy places the organism in Eukaryota, Metazoa, Arthropoda, Insecta, Diptera, Culicidae.
GGAGAAAAUAACAAUUAUAAUGUAUCUAUGGAAAGAAACAACGCUAAAAAUCAAAGUACUUACAUAUGUUUGAAGGGAUUUUGACUAGAAAUAAUUACAUCAUAACCAAGAAAGCGGUUUGCAUUGUGCGAGGAAGAAAUAACUCGGUUAAAAAGAGUUCGUAAACUUUGGUGGUGGUGAUAGGAUGCGAAAAUGACCUAAACAUUAAAGCUAUUAAAGAAGUAAACAGUGGGUCAAGAUAUGCUAUACAUAGAACGAAAAAAAACUACGGAAAGGCCACCAACUUCGUUCAUUUACACCUCUAACUGGAACUCCCAGAUUGGAACCACAUUGAAGCACGCAAUGCUGGCAACCGCUGUUGUAGCGGAAAAUAUAACUCCGCUAGAUUUGUCAGUCCUUGCCUGUCGUCAAAAACCGAAUCUGAGCUCAUUUUCGUUCAUCGCAAUUCGACGUAAAUAAGACCAAAUCUAUCAAUUCGGCGGUUUAGAACGGUUUUAGUGUAACAGCACCUUACCGGGAACAAUUUCUGUAUUUCUUGCAACAUUAGCCUACAGCAACUCGUUAAGCUUACAUCAAAUACUGCCAAGUGAAAUGGAGAAAAAACUCAAACUGGGGGUGUUGAGAUAGUGCUCCCCAAGACCAGUUUAAUUUGACACUUCGCCGCAUAGACAAACAGCAGACUUCAACAUCAUCAAGCAAGAAAUCAUCAUCGCCACAGGAAACUCCAGGAACCUCAUAAUUUCCAAUAGAAUGAAUUUUAAGAAUGUAAUACGAUGGACGAGUGAAACUCGCACAAUUCUGCCCUACAAAAAACCUCUCGAUCAAGUUCGACAAGAAAGAUUCAUCAAUAAAUAAAUACAAUUUC